This 400-nucleotide ribosomal RNA is filed under the name Salmonella enterica. Its description in RNAcentral is "partial 23S ribosomal RNA". It matches the Rfam family "Bacterial large subunit ribosomal RNA", at positions 879 to 1276 of the family's 2925-position model. Lineage: Bacteria; Pseudomonadati; Pseudomonadota; Gammaproteobacteria; Enterobacterales; Enterobacteriaceae. The record is from RNAcentral.
GCCUCGUGAAUUCAUCUCCGGGGGUAGAGCACUGUUUCGGCUAGGGGGCCAUCCCGGCUUACCAACCCGAUGCAAACUGCGAAUACCGGAGAAUGUUAUCACGGGAGACACACGGCGGGUGCUAACGUCCGUCGUGAAGAGGGAAACAACCCAGACCGCCAGCUAAGGUCCCAAAGUCAUGGUUAAGUGGGAAACGAUGUGGGAAGGCCCAGACAGCCAGGAUGUUGGCUUAGAAGCAGCCAUCAUUUAAAGAAAGCGUAAUAGCUCACUGGUCGAGUCGGCCUGCGCGGAAGAUGUAACGGGGCUAAACCAUGCACCGAAGCUGCGGCAGCGACACUGUGUGUUGUUGGGUAGGGGAGCGUUCUGUAAGCCUGUGAAGGUGUGUCGUGAGGCAUGCUGG